AUGAGGCUCCUCAUGUCCAGGAAGCGGCACAGGCUGCGCUGCCGCCGGCGAAUCCGAGACCGUGGACCGGUUGCUUUGGUGGCUAAAAGAAAGAGUCUGCGCUGCCAGCAAGAUGAUAACUAUCAUGUUGACAGAGGAAUAUCUUGUCCCGAUCUUCCAGAGGAUAUCUUGCGGCAUAUUCAUGCCAAAAUGACACUUAGAGAUGCUGCCCGUGCUACUUGCGCAUCGCACGCAUUCCGACACAACUGGAUAUGCCGUCCCAACCUUACAUUCAGUCUGGGAACACUUGGCUUGAAUAGAAAUGCGUCUAGGGAUGUAAUAACAAGAGAUCUUAUCAGCAAGAUUGACCUGAUUAUGCAAAAUCACUCAGGCAUCGGCGUGAAGACACUAGACAUUGAUCUCUAUAGUUGUGACAACAUCGACUUCGCCUAUCUUGAUAGUUGGCUUCGUAUUGCUGUUACUCCAGGGAUUGAAGAACUGAUCCUGACGCUGCCUCUACCCAGCAUUGUUUUCGAGAAUGCUCUACCCAUCAUUUCAGUGUAUAACUUCCCUUGUUCACUAUUAUCUAACGGGAGCGGAAACUCAAUUCAAUAUCUCAACCUAUGUUACUGUACCUUGCGUCCCACGGCUGGUCUUGGUUGCCUAAGAAGCCUGACAAGACUGCAUAUGAGUUGCACGCGGAUUACUGGGGAUGAAUUAUGGUGUCUCCUUUCCAAUUCUCCCGCUUUGGUGUGCUUGAAACUCCUGCACUGCGAGGAGAUAAUUUCCUUGAAGAUACCUUCUCUGCUGCAGCGUCUCCGUUUUCUGGAGGUGGCCUAUUGCGAUAGGCUGCAGGUGGUAGAGAGCAAUGCUCCAAAUCUCACCACUUUUUACUUUGCAGGUUUCUUAGGUCAAAUCUCACUUGGGGGCUCACUGCAAUUGAAAACACUACGCAUGAUAUGCUUCCGCCAGACCAACAUUGUCUGUUAUGCUCGGCAAAAUCUUUUGUCUAUUGCGCCAAAUGUUGAAACACUUACCAUAUCAUCACUGAAUGAGAUGGUGAACACACCGAUGCUAUCUAGCAAGUUUCUCCACCUCAAGCUCUUGCAGAUUUCAUUAGUGGGAAUGGCUUUUUCCGGAGCUUAUGAUUAUCUUUCUCUGGUUUCUUUUGUUGAUGCUUCUCCUUGCUUGGAGAAUUUUGUAUUAGCUAUAUCCCAGCAUCGCAUGGGGCAUGCUUCGAUUCUUGGAGAGCCCUCACAUGAUCUGAGGCAGAUCCCUCAGCAGCGCCAUGCCAAGCUCAAGAGUGUGACAAUCACUGGCUUUUGCUCAGCAAAGAGCUUGGUUGAGCUAACAUGUCAUAUCCUCGAGAAUACAACAUCACUCGACUGCCUUACGCUGGACACCACAUGUCAUCCUAGUUGCGCUGUCACAAAAUUUGACAAGUGUCACCCCCUCAUGGAUGGGGAUAGCCUGGUGGAGGCACAGAAAGCGCUCUUGGCCAUCAGAAGAUACGUUCUGGGGAAAGUCCCCUCUAUGGUCAAGUUAAAUAUCCUGGAGCCUUGCAGCCGAUGCCAUGCCGUUGAAUCUUUGGUGUCAACUGCCAAGUUGUCUUAG
RNAcentral lists this ribosomal RNA (1593 nucleotides) under Triticum aestivum (bread wheat). Its description in RNAcentral is "partial small subunit ribosomal RNA". The record is from RNAcentral. Lineage: Eukaryota; Viridiplantae; Streptophyta; Magnoliopsida; Poales; Poaceae.